Oryzias latipes (Japanese medaka) is the source of this 386-nucleotide non-coding RNA. Lineage: Eukaryota; Metazoa; Chordata; Actinopteri; Beloniformes; Adrianichthyidae. The record is from RefSeq and is a predicted model, not a curated record.
AUCCAACACGUUUGCGCAAGUUUGUCGCUAAAGGUCAAAGACCCACUCUUGAUGAGUUAACAAAGACGGAUAAAGCAGGAAUGAGUGAUCUGCUCGAUCUAAUGCAGAAGUGCUGGAACGGUGAUCCAACCCAGAGGCCAACAUUUGAAGAGAUUACUCCCAUGGUGGAGAACGUGUACUCAAAGCAUAAAUCCAAAAUUAAUUAUGAGGUCUACGAGGUUCUAAAACAGCUGGAAAGUGACCCUCUGGAACCUCAACAUAAUCCGUUAACCAGCAACAAAAUCAGUUUACCAGCAACUCCACCAUAGUUUGAUACUGCAGUAAAUUGUAAGCCUGGGUAUUAUUUUCCAGAUAUUGAUUAGAUUUGAUUCACAAGAGCCUGGAUC